CCAUAAAAAAACCAUCCUAUCAUGUUUUCUGGACUAAUAUUUGACAGUUUUGUAGUGUUAAUUGGUUUAUAAGCUUGUAUUGUAAUCUGCAUAUUUAUUUAUUACACAUUGAGCAUUAGUAUGGCUUAAGAAAGAUGUAUAAUGUUGAAAGCCCCUUUAGACUCAAAGUUUUCAUUAUUUCGUCAGACACAAUGGAAAUAUAAAUUUUUGUAGCUAUUAAUUUAUUGAAAAUAUGGACAUACAGUGUUAUACUACCUCUCUGAUGGUGCAUGUGACACGUACUGCCUAAUCUACUGUUAAUAAACUGGAGAAAUGCAGCUAAAAUGUGUGACUAAUAUGAUAUAUGAUAUGACUUGCAGGAAGAAGAUUUGACAACCAUUCAUGGUCACCGUGACAGCCCUUUAAAUUCUUCAGGAAAUGGACCAGAGCUCUUCUGACUCUACAGUGAUCCUUGAACUAAGUUCCGUCCCUGAAAAGGAGGACAUAAGUGUUCCUGAACUCAAGAGAGCAGAAAGUGUAUUUGUUCAUCAACAAUGGCGAGAAAGAAGUGGAGCACCGAGGAGGUCCAGGCUGUGGAGCGC
Long non-coding RNA from Perca fluviatilis (European perch), 581 nucleotides. RefSeq lists it as uncharacterized. The record is from RefSeq and is a predicted model, not a curated record. Lineage: Eukaryota; Metazoa; Chordata; Actinopteri; Perciformes; Percidae. The transcript has 3 exons.